AGAUUGAACGCUAGCGGGAUGCUUUACACAUGCAAGUCGAACGGCAGCGCGGACUUCGGUCUGGCGGCGAGUGGCGAACGGGUGAGUAAUAUAUCGGAACGUGCCCAGUAGCGGGGGAUAACUACGCGAAAGCGUGGCUAAUACCGCAUACGCCCUACGGGGGAAAGGGGGGGAUUCUUCGGAACCUCUCACUAUUGGAGCGGCCGAUAUCAGAUUAGCUAGUUGGUGAGGUAAAGGCUCACCAAGGCGACGAUCUGUAGCUGGUUUGAGAGGACGACCAGCCACACUGGGACUGAGACACGGCCCAGACUCCUACGGGAGGCAGCAGUGGGAAUUUGGACAAGUGGGGGAAACCUGAU
This 359-nucleotide ribosomal RNA is filed under the name uncultured soil bacterium. RNAcentral describes it as "bacterial SSU rRNA". It matches the Rfam family "Bacterial small subunit ribosomal RNA", at positions 26 to 387 of the family's 1533-position model. The record is from RNAcentral.